GGUGGCUCAGUGGUAGAGUGCUUGCCUUGCAUGCAUGAGGGCCUAGGUUCAAUUCCUCAGCACCG
Molecule: transfer RNA, 65 nt
Filed under: Dipodomys ordii (Ord's kangaroo rat)
Lineage: Eukaryota; Metazoa; Chordata; Mammalia; Rodentia; Heteromyidae
Rfam family: tRNA
About the family: Transfer RNA (tRNA) molecules are approximately 80 nucleotides in length. Their secondary structure includes four short double-helical elements and three loops (D, anti-codon, and T loops).
Source: Rfam by way of RNAcentral